RNAcentral lists this ribosomal RNA (458 nucleotides) under uncultured bacterium. RNAcentral describes it as "bacterial SSU rRNA". It matches the Rfam family "Bacterial small subunit ribosomal RNA", at positions 340 to 786 of the family's 1533-position model. The record is from RNAcentral.
UACGGGAGGCAGCAGUGGGGAAUAUUGCACAAUGGGCGCAAGCCUGAUGCAGCCAUGCCGCGUGUAUGAAGAAGGCCUUCGGGUUGUAAAGUACUUUCAGUCGUGAGGAAGGUGUUAAGGUUAAUAACCUUAGCAAUUGACGUUAGCGACAGGAGAAGCACCGGCUAACUCCGUGCCAGCAGCCGCGGUAAUACGGGAGGGGUGCGAGCGUUUAAAUCGGAAUUACUGGGCGUAAAGGGCACGCAGGCGGUUAAUUAAGUUGGAUGUGAAAUCCCCGGGCUUAACCUGGGAAUGGCAUUCAAGACUGGUUAGCUAGAGUCUUGUAGAGGGGGUAGAAUUCCAUGUGUAGCGGUGAAAUGCGUAGAGAUGUGGAGGAAUACCGGUGGCGAAGGCGGCCCCUGGACAAAGGACUGACGCUCAUGUGCGAAAGCGUGGGGAGCAAACAGGGAUUAGAUACC